GAUGAAGAACGUAGCGAAAUGCGAUAAGUAAUGUGAAUUGCAGAAUUCAGUGAAUCAUCGAAUCUUUGAACGCACAUUGCGCCCGCCAGUACUCUGGCGGGCAUGCCUGUUCGAGCGUCAUUUCAACCCUCAAGACCCCUUCGGGGGACUUGGUGUUGGGGACCGGCACAGGGGCCUGCCUGCUUGUCUUGCAGCGCCCUCGCCGCCCCCGAAAUGAAUUGGCGGCCUCGUCGCGGCCUCCCCUGCGUAGUAGCACAACCUCGCAACGGGAACGUGACGGCGGCCACUGCCGUAAAACAACCCAAUUUUAUUAGAGUUGACCUCGAAUCAGGUAGGAAUACCCGCUGAACUUAAGCAUAUCAAUAAGCGGAGGA
This 374-nucleotide unclassified non-coding RNA is filed under the name soil metagenome. Its description in RNAcentral is "partial contains 5.8S ribosomal RNA, internal transcribed spacer 2, and large subunit ribosomal RNA". The stretch from base 1 to 120 matches the Rfam family "5.8S ribosomal RNA", at positions 35 to 154 of the family's 154-position model. The record is from RNAcentral.